CCACCACUAAGCCAGUGGUGAACUCCACAUACGCAUCCUUUGCUGAGGAUACGGUUAACGGAGCGAAAGCGACGUUCAACCGCAAAAGAAGCAGAGGGGGCUUAGUGGUGGGGUGACUGCGUACCUUUUGUAUAAUGGGUCAGCGACUUAUAUUCUGUAGCAAGGUUAACCGAAUAGGGGAGCCGGAGGGAAACCGAGUCUUAAUUGGGCGUUAAGUUGCAGGGUAUAGACCCGAAACCCGGUGAUCUAGCCAUGGGCAGGUUGAAGGUUGGGUAACACUAACUGGAGGACCGAACCGACUAAUGUUGAAAAAUUAGCGGAUGACCUGUGGCUGGGGGUGAAAGGCCAAUCAAACCGGGAGAUAGCUGGUUCUCCCCGAAAGCUAUUUAGGUAGCGCCUCGUGAAUUCAUCUCCGGGGGUAGAGCACUGUUUCGGCUAGGGGGCCAUCCCGGCUUACCAACCCGAUGCAAACUGCGAAUACCGGAGAAUGUUAUCACGGGAGACACACGGCGGGUGCUAACGUCCGUCGUGAAGAGGGAAACAACCCAGACCGCCAGCUAAGGUCCCAAAGUCAUGGUUAAGUGGGAAACGAUGUGGGAAGGCCCAGACAGCCAGGAUGUUGGCUUAGAAGCAGCCAUCAUUUAAAGAAAGCGUAAUAGCUCACUGGUCGAGUCGGCCUGCGCGGAAGAUGUAACGGGGCUAAACCAUGCACCGAAGCUGCGGCAGCGAACGUAUCACCCAAGACAACUUUACGGAGUUGACGAUUGACGGAGCGAAGCGACGUCAAAGCGUUCAUUAAAGUCGAGUUGGCUUAGGGAUACGUUCGUUGGGUAGGGGAGCGUUCUGUAAGCCUGUGAAGGUGUGUCGUGAGGCAUGCUGGAGGUAUCAGAAGUGCGAAUGCUGACAUAAGUAACGAUAAAGCGGGUGAAAAGCCCGCUCGCCGGAAGACCAAGGGUUCCUGUCCAACGUUAAUCGGGGCAGGGUGAGUCGACCCCUAAGGCGAGGCCGAAAGGCGUAGUCGAUGGGAAACGGGUUAAUAUUCCCGUACUUGGUGUUACUGCGAAGGGGGGACGGAGAAGGCUAUGUUGGCCGGGCGACGGUUGUCCCGGUUUAAGCGUGUAGGUGUGUGUUCCAGGUAAAUCCGGUUCACUUUAACACUGAGGCGUGACGACGAGGCACUACGGUGCUGAAGCAACAAAUGCCCUGCUUCCAGGAAAAGCCUCUAAGCAUCAGGUAACAUCAAAUCGUACCCCAAACCGACACAGGUGGUCAGGUAGAGAAUACCAAGGCGCUUGAGAGAACUCGGGUGAAGGAACUAGGCAAAAUGGUGCCGUAACUUCGGGAGAAGGCACGCUGACACGUAGGUGAAGUGAUUUACUCA
This 1381-nucleotide ribosomal RNA is filed under the name Salmonella enterica subsp. enterica serovar Heidelberg. RNAcentral describes it as "partial 23S ribosomal RNA". It matches the Rfam family "Bacterial large subunit ribosomal RNA", at positions 1 to 1773 of the family's 2925-position model. The record is from RNAcentral. Lineage: Bacteria; Pseudomonadati; Pseudomonadota; Gammaproteobacteria; Enterobacterales; Enterobacteriaceae.